AGAGAGAUUCUCACCCGAGGAUUGGCUCGUCAGGAUCUCCUAAUCCUGCGCUCAAGCACCGGGACAGAGAGCUAACGGGCCUGGAUGGCCACCCGGGUUCUCUCGGCACCCUAGGCAUGACCAUCAGUCCGUGGGGAAACAGCACUCACACCCACAGCUCCACAGCAGCAUCCAACGCUAGCCUCAGUCACAACAACAGCUCAGGAUCCCUCCCCGGGGAGAUGGAUGAGACGGAUGCUCUCCGCUCCAAACGCUGCAACGAAGACGCCAUUUCCCUCGCUCCCUCCACCACCGAGUCCAUCAUCGUCGAAGGUGAGU
Molecule: long non-coding RNA, 318 nt
Organism: Notothenia coriiceps (black rockcod)
Lineage: Eukaryota; Metazoa; Chordata; Actinopteri; Perciformes; Nototheniidae
Exons: 3
Source: RefSeq, a predicted model, not a curated record